UACAGAGGUCCCAAGCGUUGUUCGGAUUUACUGGGCGUAAAGGGUGCGUAGGCGGUCGGGUAAGUCUGGUGUGAAAUCUUCGAGCUUAACUCGGAAACUGCAUUGGAUACUAUUCGGCUAGAGAGUUGGAGGGGGGAUUGGAAUGCUUGGUGUAGCAGUGAAAUGCGUAGAUAUCAAGUGGAACACCAGUGGCGAAGGCGAAUCCCUGGACAACUUCUGACGCUGAGGCACGAAAGCUAGGGGAGCAAACAGG
Molecule: ribosomal RNA, 253 nt
Filed under: uncultured bacterium
Lineage: Bacteria
Description: partial 16S ribosomal RNA
Rfam family: Bacterial small subunit ribosomal RNA
Source: RNAcentral